This 227-nucleotide ribosomal RNA is filed under the name uncultured bacterium. RNAcentral's name for it is "partial 16S ribosomal RNA". It matches the Rfam family "Bacterial small subunit ribosomal RNA", at positions 113 to 334 of the family's 1533-position model. The record is from RNAcentral.
CAACGUAGGUAAUCUACCCUUUUGAGUGGGGGAAUAACAAUCGGAAACGAUUGCUAAUACCGCAUAAUGCAGCGGCAUCGCAAGAUGACAGUUGUUAAAGGAGCAAUUCGCUUAAAGAGGAGCCUGCGGCAGAUUAGCUAGUUGGUAAGGUAAUGGCUUACCAAGGCUACGAUCUGUAACCGACCUGAGAGGGUGGUCGGUCACACUGACACUGAAUAACGGGUCAG